UACGUAGGGUGCAAGCGUUGUCCGGAAUUAUUGGGCGUAAAGAGCUCGUAGGCGGUCUGUCGCGUCGGAUGUGAAAAUCCAGGGCUCAACCCUGGACCUGCAUUCGAUACGGGCAGACUAGAGCUCGGUAGGGGAGACUGGAAUUCCUGGUGUAGCGGUGAAAUGCGCAGAUAUCAGGAGGAACACCGGUGGCGAAGGCGGGUCUCUGGGCCGAAACUGACGCUGAGGCACGAAAGCGUGGGGAGCAAACAGG
RNAcentral lists this ribosomal RNA (253 nucleotides) under uncultured bacterium. RNAcentral describes it as "partial 16S ribosomal RNA". It matches the Rfam family "Bacterial small subunit ribosomal RNA", at positions 524 to 776 of the family's 1533-position model. The record is from RNAcentral.